Molecule: ribosomal RNA, 346 nt
Filed under: Porophila cedri
Lineage: Eukaryota; Metazoa; Arthropoda; Insecta; Coleoptera; Ptiliidae
Description: partial 12S ribosomal RNA
Source: RNAcentral
UUUAGAUGUAAAUUUUUAGUUAAAUUAGUAUUAGUUAUUUUCUUGAAAAUUAAAAAAUUUGGCGGUAUUUUAGUCUUUUUAGAGGAACCUGUUUCUUAAUUGAUAAUCCACGAUAUAUUUUACUUUAAUUUUAAAUUUAUAUAUCAUCGUAAUUAAUAAUUUUUAAGAAUUUAUUAUUAUUUUUUAUAAAAAUAAAAAUCAGAUCAAGAUAUAGUUUAUAUUAAAGAAGAUAAUGGGUUACAUUAAUUUUAUUUAGAUGGAUUUUAUUUUGAGAUAUAUAAAUGAAAGUGGAUUUAAAAGUAAUUUUUUUUAAUUUAUAAAAAUGAUUUUUAGCUCUGAAAUAUGU